AUCCAUGGAGAGUUUGAUCCUGGCUCAGGAUGAACGCUGGCGGUAUGCUUAACACAUGCAAGUCGUACGGGUUAGAUUUAUCUAAUCUAGUGGCGGACGGGUGCGUAACACGUAAGAACCUACCUUUUGGAGGGGGAUAACAUUGGGAAACUGAUGCUAAUACCCCAUAAUAGCUGAGGAGUGAAAAGCGGGUAUCCUGUGAGGGAGCUACGCGCCGAGAGAGGGGCUUGCGGCUGAUUAGCUAGUUGGUGGGGGUAAUGGCCUCCCAAGGCCACGAUCAGUAGCUGGUCUGAGAGGAUGAUCAGCCACACUGGGACUGAGACACGGCCCAGACUCCUACGGGAGGCAGCAGUGAGGAAUUUUCCACAAUGGGCGAAAGCCUGAUGGAGCAAUACCGCGUGGAGGAAGAAGGAUCGUGGUUCGUAAACUCCUUUUCUCAGAGAAGAACAAAUGACGGUAUCUGAGGAAUAAGCUCCGGCUAACUAUGUGCCAGCAGCCGCGGUAAUACAUAGGGAGCAAGCGUUAUCCGGAAUGAUUGGGCGUAAAGCGUCUGUAGGUGGUUCAAAAAGUCUACUGUCAAAUACGAUGGCUCAACCAACGGCAGGCAGUAGAGUACUAUUGGACUAGAGUUAGGUAGAGGUAGAGGGAAUCCCUAGCGUAACAGUGAAAUGUGUAGAUUUUAGGGAGAACACCAGCGGCGAAGGCGCUCUACUGGGCCGGUACUGACACUGAGAGACGAAAGCUAAGGGAGAGAAGAGGAUUAGAUACCCUAUUAUUCUUAGCUGUAAACGAUGGAAACUAAGUGGGGGGGGGCCGUAAGUAUAGCAAGUAAUUUCGGUUAUUUGUGAUUUUUACGUUGCUACUUCCCUGCUGUAGCUAACGCGUUAAGUUUCCCGCCUGGGGAGUAUGCUCGCAAGAGUGAAACUCAAAGGAAUUGACGGGAACCUGCACAAACGGAGGAUUAUGGGGAUUAAUUCGAUGCAACGCGAAGAACCUUACCAGGGUUUGACAUGUCCAGAAUUUUCCAGAAAUGGGAAAGUGCCACACUCAUUUAGGGGUGUGGAGCUGGAACACAGGUGGUGCAUGGCUGUCGUCAGCUCGUGCGUUGACGUGUAUGGUUAAGUCCUGCAACGAGCGCAACCCUCGUCCUUAGUUACCUUCUAGGUUCUCUAAGGAGACUGCGCGCGCAAGCGCUGAGGAAGGUGAGGAUGACGUCAAGUCAGCAUGCCCCUUACACCCUGGGCGUCACCCGUAAUACAAUGGUUGGGACAAUCAGAAGCUACCCCGCGAGGGCACGCAAAUCUGCUAAACUCAACCCCAGUUCGGAUUGCAGGCUGCAACUCGCCUGCAUGAAGCCGGAUUCGUUAGUAAUCGCCGGUCAGCCAUACGGCGGUGAAUACGUUCCCAGGUUUUGUCCACACCGCCCGUCACAUCAAGAGAGUAUACAAAGGUCCAAGUCAUUAGUUUAACCUACUCGUAGGAAAACGGUGCCCAAGCUUCGGUAAACAAUCAUGAUGAAGUCGUAACAAGGUAGGGCUACUGGAAGGUGGCCCUGGAUCACCUCCUUC
Molecule: ribosomal RNA, 1568 nt
Filed under: Chlorococcum sp. KSF0227
Lineage: Eukaryota; Viridiplantae; Chlorophyta; Chlorophyceae; Chlamydomonadales; Chlorococcaceae
Description: SSU rRNA
Rfam family: Bacterial small subunit ribosomal RNA
Source: RNAcentral